UACGUAGGGAGCAAGCGUUGUCCGGAAUCAUUGGGCGUAAAGCGCGCGUAGGUGGCCUCAUAAGUCCGCUGUGAAAGUCAAAGGCUCAACCUUUGAAAGCCGGUGGAUACUGUGAGGCUAGAGUACGGAAGAGGCGAGUGGAAUUCCUGGUGUAGCGGUGGAAUGCGCAGAUAUCAGGAGGAACACCAAUAGCGAAGGCAGCUCGCUGGGACGUUACUGACACUGAGGCGCGAAAGCUGGGGGAGCGAACAGG
This 253-nucleotide ribosomal RNA is filed under the name uncultured bacterium. Its description in RNAcentral is "partial 16S ribosomal RNA". It matches the Rfam family "Bacterial small subunit ribosomal RNA", at positions 524 to 776 of the family's 1533-position model. The record is from RNAcentral.